RNAcentral lists this ribosomal RNA (497 nucleotides) under uncultured bacterium. Its description in RNAcentral is "partial 16S ribosomal RNA". It matches the Rfam family "Bacterial small subunit ribosomal RNA", at positions 28 to 507 of the family's 1533-position model. The record is from RNAcentral.
GAUGAACGCUGGCGGCGUGCCUAAUACAUGCAAGUCGAGCGAACGGACGAGAAGCUUGCUUCUCUGAUGUUAGCGGCGGACGGGUGAGUAACACGUGGAUAACCUACCUAUAAGACUGGGAUAACUUCGGGAAACCGGAGCUAAUACCGGAUAAUAUUUUGAACCGCAUGGUUCAAAAGUAAAAGACGGUCUUGCUGUCACUUAUAGAUGGAUCCGCGCUGCAUUAGCUAGUUGGUAAGGUAACGGCUUACCAAGGCAACGAUGCAUAGCCGACCUGAGAGGGUGAUCGGCCACACUGGAACUGAGACACGGUCCAGACUUCUACGGGAGGCAGCAGUAGGGAAUCUUCCGCCAUGGGCGAAAGCCUGACGGAGCAACGCCGCGUGAGUGAUGAAGGUCUUCGGAUCGUAAAACUCUGUUAUUAGGGAAGAACAUAUGUGUAAGUAACUGUGCACAUCUUGACGGUACCUAAUCAGAAAGCCACGGCUAACUACGUG